CGUUGUUCGGAAUUACUGGGCGUAAAGUGUGCGCAGGCGGCCGAGCAAGUCGAGUGUGAAAGCCCCGAGCUUAACUUGGGAACUGCGCUCGAAACUACUUGGCUAGAGUGUGGCAGAGGGAGGUGGAAUUCCACGUGUAGCGGUGAAAUGCGUAGAGAUGUGGAGGAACACCGAUGGCGAAGGCAGCCUCCUGGGCCAACACUGACGCUCAUGCACGAAAGCGUGGGGAGCAAACAGG
Molecule: ribosomal RNA, 238 nt
Filed under: uncultured bacterium
Lineage: Bacteria
Description: partial 16S ribosomal RNA
Rfam family: Bacterial small subunit ribosomal RNA
Source: RNAcentral